Molecule: ribosomal RNA, 254 nt
Filed under: uncultured bacterium
Lineage: Bacteria
Description: partial 16S ribosomal RNA
Rfam family: Bacterial small subunit ribosomal RNA
Source: RNAcentral
CACGUAGGGUGCGAGCGUUGUCCGGAAUUAUUGUGCGUAAAGAGCUCGUAGGCGGUGUGUCGCGUCGGCCGUGAAAACCUGCAGCUUAACUGUGGGCUUGCGGUCGAUACGGGCAUCACUGGAGUUCGGCAGGGGAGACUGGAAUUCCUGGUGUAGCGGUGAAAUGCGCAGAUAUCAGGAGGAACACCGGUGGCGAAGGCGAGUCUCUGGGCCGAUACUGACGCUGAGGAGCGAAAGCGUGGGGAGCGAACAGG